GCGGCGAUGGUGUAACGGUCAGCAUCUGGGCUUCCCAUGCCUAGGACAGGGGUUCAACUCCCCUUCGCCGCA
Molecule: transfer RNA, 72 nt
Organism: Pestalotiopsis fici W106-1
Lineage: Eukaryota; Fungi; Ascomycota; Sordariomycetes; Amphisphaeriales; Sporocadaceae
Rfam family: tRNA
About the family: Transfer RNA (tRNA) molecules are approximately 80 nucleotides in length. Their secondary structure includes four short double-helical elements and three loops (D, anti-codon, and T loops). Further hydrogen bonds mediate the characteristic L-shaped molecular structure. tRNAs have two regions of fundamental functional importance: the anti-codon, which is responsible for specific mRNA codon recognition, and the 3' end, to which the tRNAs corresponding amino acid is attached (by aminoacyl-tRNA synthetases). tRNAs cope with the degeneracy of the genetic code in two manners: having more than one tRNA (with a specific anti-codon) for a particular amino acid; and 'wobble' base-pairing, i.e. permitting non-standard base-pairing at the 3rd anti-codon position.
Source: Rfam